UGCUUGUGACGAAUCUGCUGUGCACAUAUGCAAACUUCUAUUGGAUUAUGACCCGGGAAUUCCUCAAGGCCUCCUUCAAUCUUUAGUUUUGCCUUUCAAGGAUGAAAUGGAAAGGCUUCUUCGGGUAGAGAAAUAUCUCUAUUCCCGUCAAGCGCGAGCCAGAUUUUCUGCUUCGAGUAUAUUCAACGAUUUUGGCCUUCAAUAUUCCUUUUCUGUCAAGUACUUCGAUCAAUGUCAUGAGCUCCAAAACACUCUGGAGGAAAUUGAGAGGUGGGCAACAAGGGAGAGACAGAUUAAACGCGAAGAACUCCGACGAAAAAAGGAAAACUACAACGACCUAAUGCGAAUCUACAAUGAAACCGAGUGCGAUUACAAUGAAGCCAUUCCCCAUUACUCCAAUAAUUUCAGUGAACAACAGCACAGCCCCAUCUGCAAAAGGUGUAGCUACCGAAAUAGAGCUAGCUCCUUAACGAUUAAUAUCCAUGAGUGGCCAUUGCCUAAAAACGUCUUGCAAGCUCGAUCCACAAUUUUUGAACUUAAGGUACCUCCAUUUUUUGGCCGUUGGCGCGACAUUACUAUCUUCGUAUUGUUAGAUGUUUUAAAAACCGAAUACUCUUCAAAAUCUAACCCGCGAUCGCAUCAUCCUUUACGCACAUAUGCGGGUCUUUUUUCGUUCUUUAGCCCGUUCAGUGCGACACAACGUGUUUGUCUUUUGUCGGAGAACAAACCCCACAUAGCUACACAUCGCCGUGGCAAGAAAAUCUCUGUUGCUACAGAAAGGGAAGUUUGUCCUGACAACGGUAUGCAUUAUCGUUAUUUUGACAAUACAUUGCGUCUUUUUGUGGCAGGAAUCAGUGUUGGGGAGAAAGCUUCUGAGAGUUUCAUGUACACACUUCCUGCGCAGUCGCUAUCUCUUCAGAAAUUUCUUCAUCGCCCGUUCACAAGACCCAAUGGGCUACCACCCAACACUGUCAUAGCCAACCAGUCCGAUUGUCCUGCCCACAUGUCGUUGGAUGAAUACAAGGCACUAUGCACAAUACCUCUCGGCUGUCGAAUUCAGUGGCAAAAUAUCCUAUUGCAACUUUCCACAUCCUCUAUUGAUUUCAAAAAGAUAGAGACAGGUCUGGUAGUUCUUCAAUCAAUCUACCAAGCCGGACCUUCCUGCCACAGGAAUGUCCUUAGAGAUGGCCAUGAGAUCGUUGAUGACGACACUUUCGCCAUCGUUCUUCUAGCAAGUCUAUUUGAUGCCUUACGGAGAGUUAGGGGGAACUGGGAAUCUUCUUGGGCACUGAGCACGUUUACGUCUUUGGCUAGGCGUUUGCUAACAUUAACUUCUACACAGCAAGUUAAGGAACAGUGUCUUGCCUAUUUGGCUUCUAUCCGAGUUACUACUGUCGACUGGCUCAAAUCUCUCAAAGACUACGCACAUCGGACAGCCAACAACAGCCACAGAGUAGACUUAACAUCAAAAGCCGUGGAGAUCGCUCUUAUUUAUACUGAUUCAUGCAAUAUCGAUCAGGGAUAUCUCGAUAAUCUAUUUUCCGAUCCAAAAACUGUUUCGGACUUCAUACAGUGCUCCAUUGUUAUUCAACAAGGUAGCAAUCAUCUUAGCAAGGCAUCCGAUCCCGCGAUCGCAUUACUAUGCCAGCGCCGACUAUGCCUUUCAUACCGAUGUUACCCUAGUCUCGCAAAGCAAAUUGUAGCAGAUAGAUGGCCAUUAGACGACGCCAUAAUGAAAUCCUGGUCAGCUUAUCGGCCAGGAGACGCCUGGCAAGUAGCCUCAGAAGAGCUCGACUAUUGGUUGCUCAGCAAGACAGCACCAGAAGGGAAUACCCAUUCACUUCCAAUUCAUUUCAAUCUCUUGACCGGCGAGUUGCUCGUAAACGGCCAUCCACUGUCCCGUCUACCUGCGA
This 1913-nucleotide small RNA is filed under the name Histoplasma ohiense. RNAcentral describes it as "hypothetical lncRNA". Lineage: Eukaryota; Fungi; Ascomycota; Eurotiomycetes; Onygenales; Ajellomycetaceae. The record is from RNAcentral.